AACGCAUAUUGCGCUCUCUGGUAUUCCGGAGAGCAUGCUUGUUUGAGUAUCAGUAAACACCUCAACUCCUUUUUCUUUUUUGAAAUUGGAGCUGGACUUGAGUGAUCCCAACGCUUUCUUCCAAGAAAGUGGCGGGUUGCUUGAAAUGCAGGUGCAGCUGAACUUUUCUCUGAGCUAUAAGCAUAUCUAUUUAGUCUGCCUAAAAAACAGAUUAUUACCUUUGCUGCAGCUAACAUAAAGGAGACUAGUUCUUGUGCUGACUGAUGCAGGAUUCACAGAGGCAGCUUCGGCUGACUUUGUAAACUCGAUCUCAAAUCAAGUAAGACUACCCGCUGAACUUAA
This 342-nucleotide unclassified non-coding RNA is filed under the name uncultured Mortierella. Its description in RNAcentral is "sequence contains ITS2". The stretch from base 1 to 52 matches the Rfam family "5.8S ribosomal RNA", at positions 103 to 154 of the family's 154-position model. Lineage: Eukaryota; Fungi; Mortierellomycota; Mortierellomycetes; Mortierellales; Mortierellaceae. The record is from RNAcentral.